CCUACGGGGGGCAGCAGUGGGGAAUAUUGCACAAUGGGGGAAACCCUGAUGCAGCGACGCCGCGUGAGUGAAGAAGUAACUCGUUUUGUAAAGCUCUAUCAGCAGGGAAGAAAAUGACGGUACUUGAGUAAGAAGCCCCGGCUAACUACGUGCCAGCAGCCGCGGUAAUACGUAGGGGGCAAGCGUUAUCCGGAUUUACUGGGUGUAAAGGGAGCGUAGACGGCAGUGCAAGUCUGGAGUGAAAGGCGGGGGCUCAACCCCCGGACUGCUCUGGAAACUGUACGGCUGGAGUGCAGGAGAGGUAAGUGGAAUUCCGAGUGUAGCGGUGAAAUGCGUAGAUAUAAGGAGGAACACCAGUGGCGAAGGCGGCUUACUGGACUGUAACUGACGUUGAGGCUCGAAAGCGUGGGGAGCAAACAGGAUUAGAUACCCGUGUAGUC
RNAcentral lists this ribosomal RNA (440 nucleotides) under uncultured bacterium. Its description in RNAcentral is "partial 16S ribosomal RNA". It matches the Rfam family "Bacterial small subunit ribosomal RNA", at positions 338 to 795 of the family's 1533-position model. The record is from RNAcentral.